This is a long non-coding RNA of Balaenoptera acutorostrata (minke whale), 614 nucleotides long. RefSeq lists it as uncharacterized. The transcript is spliced from 3 exons. The record is from RefSeq and is a predicted model, not a curated record. Lineage: Eukaryota; Metazoa; Chordata; Mammalia; Artiodactyla; Balaenopteridae.
UUCCGGUUGCCGUGCCGGUAGGCGCGGGGCUGCGGCCGCUGGCCUCUCUCGGGCCCCUGAGGUCUGCGGUUUCCGCAGACCCGCCAGCUCCCUGACGGGGUCCUUCUGGACUUGUCUGCUUCCUCGGGUCCCCGCAAAGGCUUCAUGGUCCGAAGCUCCGGUUCGCUGGGACCGACCUGGGCUGACCCAAGGCCGCGCCACUCAGUAAAGGAGGGUGUAGCGAGAGGCCAGAGCCACCACGGGCUCCGGCCGCAGCAUCCCUCCUCCCCAACCCUGCCCUGCCCUGCCCAGCUGUGUGCUCCACGGUGGGCAAGGGACCUCGGUCUCGGCCGCGUGCGUGCUGUGCUGGAGCCCCGCCAAGUGGCACUACUUGACCUCCAGGAUGGACGGGUUGGUCUCCAUGAUGGCCACGAUGAUCCUGUCGAUGUAGUCCUGCAGGCGGAAGUUGAUCUCCUCCUGCUUCUGGAUGGCGUCCAUGAGCUGUGGGAGGAGACAGGGGUCGGUGCCAGGCUGCGGUUGUCCUGGGGAACACGGGGCGUCACUCCUGGGCCGAGGCAGGACCACCAGCUCCAGCACCGGCCCCCAGAAGCGUGAGCCCAGCCCAUACCUGUUUC